GAGUUUGAUCGUGGCUCAGGAUGAACGCUGGCGGCGUGCCUAACACAUGCAAGUCGAACGGGCGCGGCGUGCGGCAGGGGCCUCGGCCCCUGCGGCGCCGCGCGAGUGGCGGACGGGUGAGUAACGCGUGGGCAACCUGCCCUGUACUGGGGGAUAACACCUGGAAACAGGUGCUAAUACCGCAUAAGCGCGCUGUGCCGCAUGGCACGGCGCGGAAAACCCCGGUGGUACAGGAUGGGCCCGCGUCUGAUUAGCUGGUUGGCAGGGUAACGGCCUACCAAGGCGACGAUCAGUAGCCGGCCCGAGAGGGUGGACGGCCACACUGGGACUGAGACACGGCCCAGACUCCUACGGGAGGCAGCAGUGGGGGAUAUUGCACAAUGGGGGAACCCUGAUGCAGCGACGCCGCGUGGGUGAAGGAGCGUUUCGGCGCGUAAAGCCCUAUCGGCAGGGAGAGAUGACGGUACCUGACCAGAAGCCCGGCUAACUACGUGCCAGCAGCCGCGUAAC
Molecule: ribosomal RNA, 510 nt
Filed under: uncultured microorganism
Description: bacterial SSU rRNA
Rfam family: Bacterial small subunit ribosomal RNA
Source: RNAcentral